CCUACGGGUGGCAGCAGUGAGGAAUAUUGGUCAAUGGACGAGAGUCUGAACCAGCCAAGUAGCGUGAAUGAUGACUGCCCUAUGGGUUGUAAACUUCUUUUAUAUGGGAAUAAAACAGGGUAUGCAUACCCUCUUGUAUGUACCAUAUGAAUAAGGAUCGGCUAACUCCGUACCAGCAGCCGCGGUAAUACGGAGGAUACGAGCGUUAUCCGGAUUUAUUGGGUUUAAAGGGAGCGGAGGGGGACUGUUAAGUCAGAUGUGAAAUUUUGGGGCUCAACCGUAAAACUGCAGUUGAAACUGGCAGUCUUGAGUACAGUAGAGGGGGGCAGAAUUCGUGGUGUAGCGGUGAAAUGCUUAGAGAUCACGAAGAACUCCGAUUGCGAAGGCAGCUCACUGGACUGAAACUGACACUGAUGCUCGAAAGUGUGGGUAGCAAACAGGAUUAGAUACCCUUGUAGUC
RNAcentral lists this ribosomal RNA (460 nucleotides) under uncultured bacterium. RNAcentral's name for it is "partial 16S ribosomal RNA". It matches the Rfam family "Bacterial small subunit ribosomal RNA", at positions 338 to 795 of the family's 1533-position model. The record is from RNAcentral.